CAGAACAGAGUGCCUUCUGGCCCCCCACUUUCUAGAUGCAAAAGAGUCUUGUGUGCUUUGCUAUACUUCGCCCUCCCUCUUCCAGGAUUCCCCACUGCCCUGCAGCGCUGGACGCAGCAGAGUGGCGCUCAACGUGGGGCUGGAAGAGAAGGUCGCCAUGAGCAGGAAGAGGUGAAACUACAGACGGUGGAAACGGUAGCCUUGCACUCGACGGAGUCAUGACCCCUCUGCAUGGAGGAAAACGUGAGCCACUGCAGCUGCCGCCCCACAGCACCCCCUGAACAGGGCCCAGCGUGGCGAUCAGGAGGGAGGCACUCGGUGCUCUGGGAAAACCGACAGGACAGGCCUCCAGAGAGUUAGAUUUCAGUCUCUACAGUAGGAACCUACCAUGUCCAGCCACCCAGUACUCGUCACCCCAGCCCGCAGGAAGUAGCUACAAAAGAGAGCACCAUUGCCCCAUCCCUAUAACCAAAGGCUGGAAUAAUAGGUUCCCAGGAAGAUGGAGACAGACCCCCCCCCACAAUCCCCUGAAUGUGACUGUUCAACUUGGAGAACUGCUGCGGACAUGGUCUGCAGAACUGGAUUGAUCCACAGACACCAGAUGAAUGCUCUGCAAUCAAAAUUUGCUAAGACAGUUCUUAUGCAACAAAUACAUACAAACACGGGAGAUGUUGGACACCACUGAAACUGCUGAAUGAUGCAGUCAACAAAUUUGGCACAUGUGCAAAAGCACAACCACGAAGAGAGAGCUUUAUUAUGACCUGCACCUGAUUUUGCUCAUUAACCUGUGUCACCUUCCCUAAUACAGGCCAGGUGGACUAAAGCCUGGGGACUUUCUAGAUGCAAAGGAGUCCUAUGUGCUUUGUUGUAUCACGCUCUCCCUGCAGGCUGGACGCAGCAGGGACUAACAUAUGUGUUGUGGAUCUGAACACAGGGCAGGUAACAAUAGAGCAAAUGAAUGGUGUGACUUGAAACUUGGGUAGAGGAAAAAGUAAUUAAAUGUUGUUUUAACAUUUCCCAUGUGCACAUAGUCUGAUAGGUUUUGGAGAGGUUCUAACAAAUACAUGAGUGGAAUAGGAGUUAAUGAGAUACCAGUUACAGUUGGCAUUGACUUUUAGUGCUAACUAUGUGCUAGGCUCUGCUAUAAGGAUUUGCCAGAUAUUAAUGCAUUUGAUCCGCACAACAACUUUAUGAGGGUAUUAGUAUUACUCCCAUUUGAAAGACAAGGAAUUAUGUCCCAGAACUGUCCCAGGUCAGUUAUAGGCAGUGGGUGGAGGAGCCUGGAGUGAAAUCCAGCCAGAACUCAGAGUCCUCACCAUGGCCCACUACAGAGUCAGAGUGACCUCUCUGCCACAGGAGGUGCUAAGCCAUAGGAUAAUGACCAUUCACCAGGGCAGGUAUAAAGGUGGUACACACAUGAAAUGGACUGGAUAACCUCUAGGCCCAUGCCAUCCUUAUGAAUCUAAAAACAGGUGAGACCUCCCGUCAGCAUGGUAGACAAAGAAGGCCUAACUACCACCCAAACCCGACUCAAGUCAAAUCCUAGAGGAACGAUGAACUACAGUUCCUUUGCUUUGCACAUUUCACAUCAGAAAAGCUUCUGUGUAGCCUGAUACAAUGACCAAUAGCUUACUGGUACCACAAUCUUGGAUCCCCAGGGGAGGUUCUAAGUUGGUGCUAAAACAGCAGAGGAGAAGGGUCCAUAUGCCAACAAAGCAUUUACAAUAGGCCGGCCCAGGGCUUGGACCCUAGAGACAUACUCUCCCUACAACCAUCCUGCCUAUCCUUC
Sus scrofa (pig) is the source of this 1789-nucleotide non-coding RNA. Lineage: Eukaryota; Metazoa; Chordata; Mammalia; Artiodactyla; Suidae. The record is from RefSeq and is a predicted model, not a curated record.